AACAGGUCUUUAGUCACCACUACAUAGGACCUCUAUACUAUCGAGAUCCACCAUUUGACAUGGGCAAGACUUAUCUCAGAAAGCCAGUUCUCAAGAUGAACACUGAUGUUCGGGCAAUGCCACUGGAUAAUCCUCACUAGUGUCAACUGAAAUGAAGGCUUCCCCAUCCUUCGGGUGUUCAAAAUCAGCACCCUCAUUAUGAUGGCUGACACAAAAAGGGAUCUGCACUAGUACCCCCCUCAGUCUGAAGAUCUACCUUCAUCCUUAUUGUCAAUGAGUCCAUGGCUGAUAGACUCUCCCUAACUCUCUGGAUAGCCUACCUCAGCUGUACCACAAUCUCAUCAUGGUC
Molecule: long non-coding RNA, 349 nt
Filed under: Elaeis guineensis (African oil palm)
Lineage: Eukaryota; Viridiplantae; Streptophyta; Magnoliopsida; Arecales; Arecaceae
Description: long non-coding RNA (EGUI_LNC007400)
Source: RNAcentral